CACCGCCUGUCACUAUAUGGGAGCUGGCCAUGACUGAAGUUGUUACCUUAAUCAUAAGAAGGGUUGAUGUCGUUGGCAGGGCUAGUGAUUGGAUUUAAGUCAUAAUAAGGUAGACGUAUGAGAAGUUAAGGCUG
RNAcentral lists this non-coding RNA (134 nucleotides) under Capsicum annuum. Lineage: Eukaryota; Viridiplantae; Streptophyta; Magnoliopsida; Solanales; Solanaceae. The record is from Rfam by way of RNAcentral.